AUGGCUUUCCUUGAAGCUUUAGCUCUCGCUUCAGAUCUUAAUCUGACGAAGGUUCAGGUGGUAACCGAUUGUGUGGCCACGGUGCACCAUAUGAAGAGACUUUAUUUGGGUGAAAGCUCCAGAAUUAUUGAUGAUAUCAAGGAAAAGAUGAAAGAUUUUGAAAUCUGUCUCUUCGAUCAUGAGAGAAGAGAGAAGAACUGGGAGUCUCAUAGUUUGGCUAGAGCAUCUGUUACUUUUAAUCUUGAGCGCCACUUGUGGCUUAUGAGCCCUCCAGAGUUCGUUUGUAUUGAACCUUUGAUAGAGCUUGAAUAA
This 312-nucleotide ribosomal RNA is filed under the name Triticum aestivum (bread wheat). Its description in RNAcentral is "partial small subunit ribosomal RNA". Lineage: Eukaryota; Viridiplantae; Streptophyta; Magnoliopsida; Poales; Poaceae. The record is from RNAcentral.